RNAcentral lists this ribosomal RNA (689 nucleotides) under Prymnesium parvum. RNAcentral's name for it is "partial Bacterial large subunit ribosomal RNA". It matches the Rfam family "Bacterial large subunit ribosomal RNA", at positions 1151 to 1830 of the family's 2925-position model. The record is from RNAcentral. Lineage: Eukaryota; Haptophyta; Prymnesiales; Prymnesiaceae.
GAGUCGUCCUGCGCGGAAGAUGUAACGGGGCUAAGCCAGUUACCGAAGCUGCGGAUGCACAGUUUACUGUGCGUGGUAGGAGAGCGUUCUGUACGCCUGUGAAGGUGGGUCGUGAGGCCUGCUGGAGGUAUCAGAAGUGCGAAUGCUGACAUGAGUAGCGUUAAAGGGGGUCAAAAGCCCCCUCGCCGUAAGCGCAAGGUUUCCUACGCAACGUUCAUCGGCGUAGGGUGAGUCGGCCCCUAAGGCGAGGCAGAGAUGCGUAGCUGAUGGGAAACAGGUCAAUAUUCCUGUACCGCUCAAUAGUGCGAUGUGGGGACGGAGAAGGUUAGCUCAGCCAACUGUUGGAUAUGUUGGUUCAAGCCUGUAGUCGUGCCUGGUAGGCAAAUCCGCCGGGCUUAGAUGAGGGGUGAUAACGAGGCUGCUUGCAGCCGAAGUGAGUGAUACCCUGCUUCCAGGAAAAGCCACUAAGCUUCAGCUAUUGACGACCGUACCGCAAACCGACACUGGUGCGCGAGAUGAGUAUUCUAAGGCGCUUGAGAGAACUCUGGAGAAGGAACUCGGCAAAUUGACACCGUAACUUCGGAAGAAGGUGUGCCUUUAGUAGGUGAACCAUUUACUUGGGGAGCCCAAUGAGGCCGCAGAUAAUCGGUGGCUGCGACUGUUUAUUAAAAACACAGCACUCUGCAAAG